This 919-nucleotide ribosomal RNA is filed under the name uncultured bacterium. Its description in RNAcentral is "bacterial SSU rRNA". It matches the Rfam family "Bacterial small subunit ribosomal RNA", at positions 9 to 922 of the family's 1533-position model. The record is from RNAcentral.
GAGUUUGAUCAUGGCUCAGAUUGAACGCUGGCGGAAUGCUUUACACAUGCAAGUCGAACGGCAGCACGGACUUCGGUCUGGUGGCGAGUGGCGAACGGGUGAGUAAUAUAUCGGAACGUGCCCAGUCGCGGGGGAUAACGUAGUGAAAAUUACGCUAAUACCGCAUACGAUCUAUGGAUGAAAGCGGGGGACUCGCAAGAGCCUCGCGCGAUUGGAGCGGCCGAUAUCAGAUUAGGUAGUUGGUGAGGUAAAGGCUCACCAAGCCCGCGAUCUGUAGCUGGUCUGAGAGGACGACCAGCCACACUGGAACUGAGACACGGUCCAGACUCCUACGGGAGGCAGCAGUGGGGAAUUUUGGACAAUGGACGAAAGUCUGAUCCAGCCAUUCCGCGUGCAGGAUGAAGGCCCUCGGGUUGUAAACUGCUUUUGUACGGAACGAAAAGGUCUCUCCUAAUACGAGAGGCUCAUGACGGUACCGUAAGAAUAAGCACCGGCUAACUACGUGCCAGCAGCCGCGGUAAUACGUAGGGUGCAAGCGUUAAUCGGAAUUACUGGGCGUAAAGCGUGCGCAGGCGGUUAUAUAAGACAGAUGUGAAAUCCCCGGGCUCAACCUGGGAACUGCAUUUGUGACUGUAUAGCUAGAGUACGGUAGAGGGGGAUGGAAUUCCGCGUGUAGCAGUGAAAUGCGUAGAUAUGCGGAGGAACACCGAUGGCGAAGGCAAUCCCCUGGACCUGUACUGACGCUCAUGCACGAAAGCGUGGGGAGCAAACAGGAUUAGAUACCCUGGUAGUCCACGCCCUAAACGAUGUCAACUGGUUGUUGGGUCUUAACUGACUCAGUAACGAAGCUAACGCGUGAAGUUGACCGCCUGGGGAGUACGGCCGNCAGGNUUGAACUCAAAGGAAUUGACGGGGACCC